Molecule: ribosomal RNA, 447 nt
Filed under: uncultured bacterium
Lineage: Bacteria
Description: bacterial SSU rRNA
Rfam family: Bacterial small subunit ribosomal RNA
Source: RNAcentral
CCCCAGACUCCUACGGGAGGCAGCAGUGGGGAAUAUUGCACAAUGGGGGAAACCCUGAUGCAGCGACGCCGCGUGAGUGAAGAAGUAUUUCGGUAUGUAAAGCUCUAUCAGCAGGGAAGAAAAUGACGGUACCUGACUAAGAAGCCCCGGCUAACUACGUGCCAGCAGCCGCGGUAAUACGUAGGGGGCAAGCGUUAUCCGGAUUUACUGGGUGUAAAGGGAGCGUAGACGGCAUGGCAAGUCAGAUGUGAAAGCCCGGGGCUCAACCCCGGGACUGCAUUUGAAACUGUCAGGCUAGAGUGUCGGAGAGGCAAGUGGAAUUCCUAGUGUAGCGGUGAAAUGCGUAGAUAUUAGGAGGAACACCAGUGGCGAAGGCGGCUUGCUGGACGAUGACUGACGUUGAGGCUCGAAAGCGUGGGGAGCAAACAGGAUUAGAUACCCCAGUAG